Molecule: long non-coding RNA, 412 nt
Organism: Larimichthys crocea (large yellow croaker)
Lineage: Eukaryota; Metazoa; Chordata; Actinopteri; Sciaenidae
Exons: 4
Source: RefSeq, a predicted model, not a curated record
UCCAUCCAGCAGCUGGUGUGUGCAGGACUGACUGAACAUUAACUCAGGAGCAACAAAAACACCAGCCUCUGCCCUGAGGUUUGCGGGGCCUGCCUUAACUGUGAGCGAGCCAUACAGGAGUCACCCUGGUUUCCUCAGUUGUCGUGUAGAUACAGUAGCUCAGCCGUCAUCGAAUGAUCUACUUUGAGCUAUCUCCAUGACAAUCUAAGCAAACUUCUUUCAUUGAGGAAUGCCACGAAAUGCAGUUGAAAAAUGUGGUUUCUGAAGAGUAGUUUGGAAGCUCAGUGUGAAGGCUCUGGCUGUUGCCACGUUGGCAGUCCUGCCUCUUCCGCCUCCCAUCUGAUCUGAAAGUUGGCAAAGACGUUGAGCUGAGAUGGGCUGAAUGUCACCUGUGUGCUCAAACAAGCCACCA